UACGGCCAAAUCACGUUCAAACACCGGUUCUCGUACGAUCACCGAAACGAAGCAACUUCGUGCCUGAUCAAUACCUAGAUGAGUGACCGUUUUGGAAUAUCAGGUGCAGUU
Molecule: non-coding RNA, 111 nt
Organism: Acanthosepion pharaonis
Lineage: Eukaryota; Metazoa; Mollusca; Cephalopoda; Sepiida; Sepiidae
Source: the annotation of a GenBank genome assembly